UUUUCCCUUUCCCAAGCGCGCGCUGCUGCGAGAGCCGGAGAUCCAAUCGCUGCCUGGGAGGAGUUCCUCGCGUCGCACGCCGGCUUCUGUUCGCCGCAGGCACUGCACGAGCUCCUAGCACGGACGCAGAGAUGCUGCCUGCUGCAACGCGUCCCGUGGGCUGCCGAGCAAGGCGCGAGAGAGACGACCCCGUGAGACUGACAGGCAGGCAGAGACGGAUGGUGCUCCUUUCCGACGCAUUCGGAUCGCCCGCACAAACGUCCUUGCAAAGUACAGACGAUUAAGCGAACGCGACUCCCUUCGAAGUGCCUUUCGUGUCGUGCUUUUCUUUCGGGGCCCAGUUUUUCUUUUUUUCUUUUUGAGCAUAACAUGCUACCUUUUCCAGAAAAGCGUUUUCAAUAUUAUUUUGAUGCAUUUUAAAUAAUGCAUUGACCAAUGCAGAGAUGAUGUAAUCCCAGCCAGGAUCGCCACGAAAUGGGCCGGUCUACGACCUUUUGUGAGAGGGAGCGGGGACUUCGUGCGACUAGGAGGAGGGAGCAGGAACAACAUAACAGAGAGCGGCGUGGGGGGGGGGUGAGAGAGGGAGGGAGAAAGCCCCCGCACACUAAUAUUGCUGUCGUACCAAGAAAUAUUGUGUAGAGAUCUAGACACAGAACGUUGCAAUCAUAACUGGCAGAGAGGUACCUGGUGGAAGUCUCUCCUUGUUACUCAUCUGGGUGGAAACUAGGGAUGUGCAAAUUGAUUUGUGUACAAACCAAUUACUACCCGAAUCUAGCUGAUUCGGGUAAUUUGGAGACAAAACAAAUCACCCCUGUGGCCUGUAGGCUAGAUCUGUGGACAAAUCAAAUCGUGCCUGAUUCGAAUCAAGAUUCAGAUCCCUCCUAUUAAUUCCCCCAGAUUCCCUGCGUUCAUUUUUUUGAAAAGUUAAGCUCUAGUCCUUGUAGAAGUGGUUAUGGAGCAAAAUGUGUGGUCACUAUUUUUCAAGUGUUUGGAUUCUUUGGUGUAUAAUCACUUUCCCUAAAUGAAUCCCUAUGAGGAUUGAUUACACACUUUCAUUUCUUCUAUUUAUUUUGACUGUCUUUUGGACAGUGCCAACUGCCAUGUGCAAACCAAACCCCCCUCCCACCCACAAGGUAGUGUGUUACUACUCAGUUUAUGUUCUAAUAUUUCUUUUCAAGUGUUUAGGCUCUUUGGCAUCUAAUAUUUCCUCAUAAUGAAUCCCUAUGAGGAUUCAUUACACACCAAAGAGUCUAAACUGAGUACUUUGUGGGUUGGGGGGUCGUUGGAACAUGGAAUGCCACUAAUUCCCCACCCCCAGCUUCAAAGCAGUGGGGUCAAAAUGAAGGUGUGGAAUGAAAACAUCAAAGAAUCUAAGCACUUCAAAAAUACCUAAAAAAUAAACCUUUGUGUGUGUGUGGAGGGGGUGUAGUUGACACAUGGCAGUUGACAGUUGGCACUGUCCAAUGAUAGUCAAAAUGAAAAGAAACCAAGGCAUAUAAUGAAUCCUCAAAGGGAUUCAUUAUGAGGAAAAGUUAUACACCAAAGAAUUCAGACACUUGAAAAAUAAUGACCGCACAUUUUGCUCCAUAACUCCACUUCUACAAGGGCCAGAGCUUAGUUGCUGUUGUUUUUUUAAAUGAAAGCUGAGGAUCCAUGUUAGUGUUAGGGUAUGACGACUUCAAUUCCCUAUUAUUUCCUAUGGCGGAAAUGUUCAAAAUCAGCAAAACUAAAAAAAAAUCCAUUAAAAAUCAACCCAGUGUCCCACGGCCUUGAAGUUUGGGUUGUAGGUGGCACCCAUGAGGACAUACCCACCAUCCAAAUUUGGUGCCCCUGGGACCUUGUUAAUUGGGCCAAAUCGUAUCAAAGCAAAUACAAAUCGAAUCUGGGGUGAUUUGGGGGGUAGAUUUGGACACAAAACAAAUCAAGGGUUGUUUUGGGCACAAAUUGAAUCAAAAAAAUUGAUUUGUGCACAUCCCUAGUGGAAACACAUCCAGCCUCAUUAGUCCACCACGAUAGCAGCAUAUGGAACUCCAAGGCACUGACUCAGUUGCCAAGAGCUACACCCCACUGAAUCGAGUCUCAACCCCCAUCCCCUCCAAGUCUUUCAAAACAUUACCAACUGAUUGAGAAUUCUGGAAGCCAACUUAUUUGCAUCACCACUGAACUAUGAAACUUCACCAAUUUUCUCCAGAUUCCCUUGGGAAAAAGCAGAAGCAAUCAAUGCCCUGACGGCCUCUCCUCCUCUUUAUGCAUUUCCACUAGUGGCUACUCCACAAAAGUUCUCAACACACUACUAGCGUCACUCAAGCCUUUCACUAAUCAAAUUUACCAGGCGACAUGGAGAGCAUUCUUGCAGUGGGCCAGACACUCUAAGACUCCAGUAAGUCUGUGAUAUAAAAGAGCUCUUCAAGAAGGCCUUGACAAGGGCUUAAAGACAAAUUUGCAACUGUAUUUUCCCCACUAAGUCAAAGUCUAACUAAUAUUAGUGUGCUUACCACCAUUACCACUAGGGAUUUGUACUUUGCUUGGAAGAUGAAACUACCAAAAUGGCUCUAAGUAUCACAGUGGAUUUCAUUUCAUGGUCCAAGCAACGAAUGGAUUGUAGAAGCCACAGCCUCAACAUUCCAAUCCUGCAGACCAUAAUAUGAAGCAGUGCUAAGGACAGAAACACUAUUACCAAACAUGUGGCAGACAACCUUCCAGAGGAAGAUAAAGUGAAUCUGGUCUGAGGAGACAGGAGCUACAUAAAAGACUGAAAGACAUUUUUGCUCCUCCAGGACUUUAUCUUUCAACCUCAGUAAGUCUUCUGAAAAGAUAUGCAUUGAAAUGGGCAAAAAGUAAACAUUCUUGUAUCACACUGCUCAGAAAUUAUUCAGACAGUGGUAUCAUCAAUCAAGGGAAUUAGAAAAAUAAGCCAUCUAUGUGUCUUACUGCAUCCAUCUAUUUCUAAUUUAUACUGUACUGCAUUCAAGGAACUCUUCCCAUUUCAGACCUAAGCUAAAGGAAAGAUAUCCUCAUACUACACACACGAGAUUUCAUUUCUAUUGGACAGAAAACAUUAUCUUACCCUCUUUUACACCAAUAAUUGAUUCUGUAUCUGGCAAGUGCAAGGAUUCCACACCUAGGCUAGGUGGUGAGCUCAUGGACACCAGAUUCUUGCUGUGCACUUCAGAUUCUUCCAACAGACUACUACCCAUAAGCGAUUCUGUUGCCAAAUAAACAAAUAAAUAAAUGCUAUGAGUUGAGCAG
Hemicordylus capensis (graceful crag lizard) is the source of this 3249-nucleotide long non-coding RNA. RefSeq lists it as uncharacterized. The transcript is spliced from 2 exons. The record is from RefSeq and is a predicted model, not a curated record. NCBI's taxonomy places the organism in Eukaryota, Metazoa, Chordata, Lepidosauria, Squamata, Cordylidae.